This 70-nucleotide transfer RNA is filed under the name Stenotrophomonas acidaminiphila. RNAcentral's name for it is "tRNA-OTHER". It matches the Rfam family "tRNA". From Rfam's summary of the family: Transfer RNA (tRNA) molecules are approximately 80 nucleotides in length. Their secondary structure includes four short double-helical elements and three loops (D, anti-codon, and T loops). Further hydrogen bonds mediate the characteristic L-shaped molecular structure. tRNAs have two regions of fundamental functional importance: the anti-codon, which is responsible for specific mRNA codon recognition, and the 3' end, to which the tRNAs corresponding amino acid is attached (by aminoacyl-tRNA synthetases). tRNAs cope with the degeneracy of the genetic code in two manners: having more than one tRNA (with a specific anti-codon) for a particular amino acid; and 'wobble' base-pairing, i.e. permitting non-standard base-pairing at the 3rd anti-codon position. Lineage: Bacteria; Pseudomonadati; Pseudomonadota; Gammaproteobacteria; Lysobacterales; Lysobacteraceae. The record is from RNAcentral.
GCGCCUGUAGCUCAGCCGGAUAGAGUAGUGGCUUCCGAAGCCGGGGGUUCGAAUCCCUCCAGGCGCGCCA